This 759-nucleotide ribosomal RNA is filed under the name Spilonema revertens. RNAcentral describes it as "SSU rRNA". It matches the Rfam family "Eukaryotic small subunit ribosomal RNA", at positions 96 to 865 of the family's 1831-position model. Lineage: Eukaryota; Fungi; Ascomycota; Lecanoromycetes; Peltigerales; Coccocarpiaceae. The record is from RNAcentral.
GCUCAUUAAAUCAGUUAUCGUUUAUUUGAUAGUACCUUCUACUUGGAUACCUGUGGUAAUUCUAGAGCUAAUACAUGCUAAAAACCCCGACUUCGGGAGGGGUGUAUUUAUUAGAUAAAAAACCAAUGCCCUCCGGGGCUCCUUGGUGAUUCAUAAUAACUUAACGAAUCGCAUGGCCUUGCGCCGGCGAUGGUUCAUUCAAAUUUCUGCCCUAUCAACUUUCGAUGGUAGGAUAGUGGCCUACCAUGGUUUCUACGGGUAACGGGGAAUUAGGGUUCGAUUCCGGAGAGGGAGCCUGAGAAACGGCUACCACAUCCAAGGAAGGCAGCAGGCGCGCAAAUUACCCAAUCCCGACACGGGGAGGUAGUGACAAUAAAUACUGAUGCAGAGCUCUUUCGGGCUUUGCAAUCGGAAUGAGAACAGUGUAAACACCUUAACGAGGAACAAUUGGAGGGCAAGUCUGGUGCCAGCAGCCGCGGUAAUUCCAGCUCCAAUAGCGUAUAUUAAAGUUGUUGCAGUUAAAAAGCUCGUAGUUGAAACUUGGGCCUGGCUGGCCGGUCCGCCUAACCGCGUGCACUGGUCCGGCCGGGCCUUUCCUUCUGGGGAACCGCAUGCCCUUCAUUGGGUGUGCCGGGGAACCAGGACUUUUACUUUGAAAAAAUUAGAGUGUUCAAAGCAGGCCUUUGCUCGGAUACAUUAGCAUGGAAUAAUGGAAUAGGACGCGCGGUUCUAUUUUGUUGGUUUCUAGGACCGCCGUAU